This 193-nucleotide non-coding RNA is filed under the name Acetatifactor sp. Its description in RNAcentral is "6S RNA". It matches the Rfam family "6S / SsrS RNA". Rfam says of the family: E. coli 6S RNA was the first non coding RNA to be sequenced, but its function was unknown until recently. The record is from RNAcentral. Lineage: Bacteria; Bacillati; Bacillota; Clostridia; Lachnospirales; Lachnospiraceae.
AGUUACCUGGAAUGUUCGAUAACUCUUGUUGUUUUUGAACCUACAUUUACUUUAAAAGGGAUUCCUAUAUUGCCAAGUGGCUGUCAAGCCUCCACUCAUAUGAGGAUUGCAGGGGAAGGCAAAAGUUUGGUUGCGGUCACCCACCUAGCAUCGCUAGGAGUCAAAAGGCAAGAGCCGGCAUUUCGGGGUACUA